This is a long non-coding RNA of Carassius gibelio (silver crucian carp), 240 nucleotides long. RefSeq lists it as uncharacterized. NCBI's taxonomy places the organism in Eukaryota, Metazoa, Chordata, Actinopteri, Cypriniformes, Cyprinidae. The transcript has 3 exons. The record is from RefSeq and is a predicted model, not a curated record.
UGUGAAGAACAGAGGACACGUUGUGUACGAAUGUGCAAUUAGAAGAAAAUUUGAAUAUGAAAGUUCAGAAUAUGUUUUUCAGCCAUUUGGACAGCCCUACAACUUCCCCUUUAUUUGCAUCUGGAGGUGAGCUGAACGCCCAAUGUGCAAAGACUCCUAAAGAACCGGACAGCAGAUCUCCCUGUCCUCCGCAAGGCCGCCCAAUGCUCUUCUGGUUACAGGGGUAUUGGUGUAUCAUUG